RNAcentral lists this transfer RNA (74 nucleotides) under Actinotalea bogoriensis. RNAcentral's name for it is "Cellulomonas bogoriensis tRNA-Leu". It matches the Rfam family "tRNA". Rfam says of the family: Transfer RNA (tRNA) molecules are approximately 80 nucleotides in length. Their secondary structure includes four short double-helical elements and three loops (D, anti-codon, and T loops). The record is from RNAcentral. Lineage: Bacteria; Bacillati; Actinomycetota; Actinomycetes; Micrococcales; Cellulomonadaceae. RNAcentral also lists the same sequence under 1 other name.
ACCCCCGUAGCCCAACGGGUAGAGGCAGCCGGCUUAAACCCGGCCCAGUGCGGGUUCGAGUCCCGUCGGGGGUA